This 401-nucleotide long non-coding RNA is filed under the name Hordeum vulgare. RNAcentral describes it as "long non-coding RNA (HVUL_LNC004403)". The record is from RNAcentral. Lineage: Eukaryota; Viridiplantae; Streptophyta; Magnoliopsida; Poales; Poaceae.
UCUACGAAAAAAAGAAAAACUCUCGGGUUACGACAAGUGACACAUAUGUAGUGCGCCAUUUAUCGUAACAUGUGGAGGUCGGAAUAAUUGUUGAAAAGUAUACUCCCUAAUUAAUGAUUUUGACGAAGCGGGCAUCGGUCAGCACCAAACAACAACAAAAAUAACUCCAACGCAUCAGCCCAUAAAAAGAGCCCACCUCAACUUCGCACGGCCCAGCCUCCAUAAAAUCGCAACAACACGAUACGAUACGAGCGAGACGCAACAACCCACGAAGCUUUGCUCGCAGUUGGCAUCGUGUCAGUCUCGACUCGCGACUCGCCGUCUCCCUCCUCCGCCAAUCUUUCUCCCCUCGCCGCCGUACGCCGCCCGGCGCCGCUCAUGGCCGCGUACCACCUCAGCGC